RNAcentral lists this ribosomal RNA (253 nucleotides) under uncultured bacterium. Its description in RNAcentral is "partial 16S ribosomal RNA". It matches the Rfam family "Bacterial small subunit ribosomal RNA", at positions 524 to 776 of the family's 1533-position model. The record is from RNAcentral.
GACAGAGGGUGCAAACGUUGUUCGGAAUUACUGGGCGUAAAGCGCGUGUAGGCUGCUUCGCAAGUCGGAUGUGAAAGCCCUGGGCUCAACCCAGGAAGUGCAUUCGAAACUGCAGAGCUGGAGUCCUGGAGAGGAAGGCGGAAUUCUCGGUGUAGAGGUGAAAUUCGUAGAUAUCGAGAGGAACACCCGUGGCGAAGGCGGCCUUCUGGACAGUGACUGACGCUGAGACGCGAAAGCGUGGGGAGCAAACAGG